RNAcentral lists this unclassified non-coding RNA (263 nucleotides) under uncultured fungus. Its description in RNAcentral is "partial contains 5.8S ribosomal RNA, internal transcribed spacer 2, and large subunit ribosomal RNA". The stretch from base 1 to 52 matches the Rfam family "5.8S ribosomal RNA", at positions 103 to 154 of the family's 154-position model. The record is from RNAcentral. Lineage: Eukaryota; Fungi.
AACGCACCUUGCGCCUCUUGGUAUUCCGAGAGGCAUGCCUGUUUGAGUGUCAUGAAAACCUCAAUCCUUCACGGUUUUGCGACCGGGCUGGACUUGGAUUUGGGUGUCUGCCGAUCUCCGGCUCACCUUAAAGGCGUUAGUGGGACAGGCCUCGGGCUUUGACGUAAUAAGUUCCGUCUCACCCCCGGCUCUGGUCCGCUUACAACCCCCCUUACUUUUUCAUCUCUGACCUCAAAUCAGGUAGGGCUACCCGCUGAACUUAA